AAUGAACGCUGGCGGCGCGCCUAAUACAUGCAAGUCGAGCGAGAAGACGUAGCAAUACGUUUGUAAAGCGGCGAACGGGUGAGGAAUACAUGGGUAACCUACCCUCGAGUGGGGAAUAACUAGCCGAAAGGUUAGCUAAUACCGCGUACGCUCCUUGGACUUCGGUUCAGGGAGGAAAGCGAUACCGUGGGUAUCGCGCUCUUGGUUGGGCUCAUGUCCUAUCAGCUUGUUGGUGAGGUAACGGCUCACCAAGGCUUCGACGGGUAGCUGGUCUGAGAGGACGAUCAGCCACACUGGCACUGCGACACGGGCCAGACUCCUACGGGAGGCAGCAGUAAGGAAUAUUGCGCAAUGGGCGAAAGCCUGACGCAGCGACGCCGCGUGGGGGAUGAAGGUCUUCGGAUUGUAACCCCUUUCGGGAGGGAAGAUGGAACGAGCAAUCGUUCGGACGGUACCUCCAGAAGCAGCCACGGCUAACUUCGUGCCAGCCGCCGCCGUAAU
This 501-nucleotide ribosomal RNA is filed under the name uncultured bacterium. RNAcentral's name for it is "bacterial SSU rRNA". It matches the Rfam family "Bacterial small subunit ribosomal RNA", at positions 29 to 524 of the family's 1533-position model. The record is from RNAcentral.